This 1229-nucleotide long non-coding RNA is filed under the name Nicotiana benthamiana. RNAcentral's name for it is "long non-coding RNA (NBEN_LNC019124)". The record is from RNAcentral. Lineage: Eukaryota; Viridiplantae; Streptophyta; Magnoliopsida; Solanales; Solanaceae.
GAUGCGCCGAGGUCGUCGCAUCAUCAGGUGGGGGAGCAUGACACGUCCCGUGCCAAUUCCAUCCAAAAUCAGCGCCCAAACGUGUCUAACGCCCCAACACCAGCGCCAGCACGCACCAGCAUUCAAUGCACGACUUCUUUGUCACUGCACGCCUUGUCUGCCAGCUGUGUCAGAGCACGCCUGCACGCCAUAUCUGCCAACUGUGUUAGAGCACGCCUGCACGCCCUGUCUGCCACAAAACAGCCAGCAAAACGGCUAAAUGCCCUUCUUGUGUAUAGUAGGGACUUGUAUAAAUAGCUUUGCACUUAGACAUUGUUAGGCAUCCAGAAAAUACUUCCAUCUUUGUAAUCUAUAGCAUUUGUAAAGCAUUCUCAAAGGCAAUAAAAGCUCAAUUUCCCUCUUAACUUUCUUUGUUUGUUAUCCAGCAUUCCCUUAGUACGAUCUUAGGUAACAAAGGCUUACUAGACUGCCAAUUCCGCAGGCAGAUUCAUUCUAGCGCCGCACGACACUUAGCUUGAGUUCUAAGGCCGUGACAUCAGGCACACGUGCAAUCUGACCCAUUGGUUUCAAGUUGCUGUAAAAGGGAAGAUUUUAACUAAUGGAGAAGUUAUUAAGAAAACAAUUAACUAAUGGAUAUCGAAAGUACUUUGAAAGAGAAAAAAUUAAAAAUUAAUAAAGCACUCCUAUCUUACAUUUUAUGCCAUCUGCAUGACACGUCCCGCGCCAAUUCCGUCCAAAAUCCGUGCCCAAACGUGUCAAACGCCCCAACACCAGCGCCAGCACCAGCAUUCAAUGCACGCCAGCUUUGUUAGUGCACGCCUUGUCUUGCCAGCUGUGUCAGAGCACGCCUGCACGCCUUGUCUGCCAACUGUGUCAGAGCACGCAUGCACGCCCUGUCUGCCACAAAACAGCCAGCCAAACGGCUAAAUGCCCCUCUUGUGUAUAGUAGGGACUUGUAUAAAUAGCUUAGCACUUAGACAUUGUUAGGCAUCUAGAAAAUACUUCCAUCUUUGUAAUCUAUAUCAUUUGUAAAGCAUUCUCAAAGGCAAUAAAAGCUCAAUUUCCCUCUUAACUUUCUUUGUUUGCUAUCCACCGUUCCCUUAGUACGAUUUUAGGCAACAAAGGCUUACUAGACUGCCAAUUCCGCAGGCAGAUUCAUUCUAGCGCCGCACGACACUUAGCUUCAGUUCUAAGUCCGUGACAAAGUGGUAUCAGAGCAGGUACUAAGC